This 69-nucleotide transfer RNA is filed under the name Perameles nasuta (long-nosed bandicoot). Its description in RNAcentral is "tRNA-Glu". It matches the Rfam family "tRNA". Rfam says of the family: Transfer RNA (tRNA) molecules are approximately 80 nucleotides in length. The record is from RNAcentral. Lineage: Eukaryota; Metazoa; Chordata; Mammalia; Peramelemorphia; Peramelidae.
GUUUUUGUAGUUGAAAUACAACAAUGGUUUUUCAUGCCGUAGGUCGUGGUUAAAGUCCAUGUAAAAACA